Molecule: non-coding RNA, 1979 nt
Organism: Gasterosteus aculeatus aculeatus (three-spined stickleback)
Lineage: Eukaryota; Metazoa; Chordata; Actinopteri; Perciformes; Gasterosteidae
Source: RefSeq, a predicted model, not a curated record
GGGGGGGGGGGGCUGUGAGAGGCGGAUAGGCUACCGUGCUUUCUAUUUAGGUUGCAGGCUGAAAGUGGUGCAUAUUCCAGCGAUGACUAGUAUGUUCUGUACUUGAGGGGGCAGAGCCUGCAGUCGCCUCUGAUGGAUGAGAUGUAUAAAUAAGCCCAAACACCCCCCAUGACCACGCAGUGAUGUAACAGCAGAGGAAAGGCACAGCGGGACUUGGCGCUCCACACUACUGUAAUCCUACUGGUCAUACAUGCUGGACGAGGCCCCCUCCCCCACCGGGUAACAUUCAUCCUCUCCAUCUCCCGAUCCCCCUCUUUCCUCCUCCUCUCUUCCCAUCAGAUGGGAUUCCUGGCAGCAGCAGUCAACUUGCCCUCUUAUGAGGAUCUCACAGACUGAGCGGCUAAGAAAGUAGAAAGAGAUCUUAGUGCCUCUGUCUGCUUCGCCGCCAGGCGCAGUGUGGAUGCUGCUCUUUGCUGCAUGGAUGAAUAGUUAUGCGAUGCAUCAUUUAUAAUUAAUAGAUAUAUAUUUGCAGUCUGGUGGAACAAGCUUCUCCUGAGGCUGAAGCCCAGAUCAAAUAUGGAGAGGUGGCUUAACCGAAGCAAUUAUGGCAACUUUAUAAUAUUUGCAGUGGUUAAUGAAUGCUCCCUCCAUUUGGGCAUUUUAGCUUCAUAACGAUUGAUCCCCAAUAUUAACCCGCUGUGACGGAGGGUGAUCCACGUGCAGUUAGAAGCAUGUGAGCUACACUUACUUGUGUACUGAUGCCUUUUAUACUGCAGGUAUUUGAAUCUGCAUCAUAUAAUAAUGGUUUUGAAUAAACAAAAUAAUAAUGUAAAUAUUUUUGUUCACGUCCUCAUGGAGAUGUUUCCAUUUGCCGAAUGACGGAUUUAGAGCCGGAGGGACUUUUCAGGCCAAUAGACGGAGGAAUAAACCAUUAGCGAACUGGUCUUUUUGUGCAUUACUAAAUGUGAUUUUUGUCGGAUGUUCAUGGGUGAGGGAUGGCUCGUCACCCAGUCUCUGAUUCCAUUUCACACCCAUUUUCUUCUUAAUGGACUUUCACUUUGGUGAAUAAGAAAAGAACAGUUUAUUUAUCAGACACCUGAGGACAAGAUGGAUUUCUAGGCUGAGACGCCGUCCGAAGGGUUUGUGCUUUCUAGUCACUUCACAUCUCACAUCCAAUGUGAAGAGCCUGAGGUUUAUUAUCACUGAAGCUUCAUACAUUGGUAUGUGGCGCCUGCUCAGAAACAAUGUCCUUCAAUUCAUCAAUCUGUGCUAAAUUUCUCAUACAAAUGUACUGUAAGCAUCUCAAACGUUUUCUUUCCCGUCUGUUAUUCUACAAGUUGAACACGGUGAAGUUUAUUCACUUAAAGUACUUUUAUGCUUGACUAUUUGCUGAGUAUUUGCUUCUUUCUUGUUUGUGCAUUAAAGUUGUUCUAGUUUUCAUGGUGUUCAAUGAGAAGAACAUCAAUAAGAAACAUGGACUCUUUUAUGACCAGUGUGGAUACACUGAGGACGAACCUUCGUGUCCUCCAACCGGUUUCUGCAGCAACAUCAUCAACGGAGGAACAAACAGACAUCUGGAGCUUUUCCUACUUUAUCUUCUGGUGCACUGACCUGUUUCCACCACCAGGGGGCAGUAACUCAUCGGGCCUGAAGGACAACGUCUCUCUUUUGAAUCACAGUUCCUUUUAUACGGAGAACAAAAUGCAGACAUGGUGUUGAGCUGUAGGCGCUUUGGCAGAGCAGCAGAGCCGGACUCUUGCGGUCCCUGAAGCAGCGGCCAUAAAGGGAAGCGAAGGAGGAACCUGACAUCUAUUUCACUUUAGAGAAGUUGUUGAUCUUCAGAGAUUUUCAGUUUCCUCAAAAGAUCUGCACCAUUUAACGCAAUGACUGGACGUUAUUACUCGCCAGGCGUAGUGGAUGUCAAAUUGCCUUCAGACUCAUUUCGGGUGAAAUUAAAUGGAUUUAAUAAUGUGAACUGA